Molecule: ribosomal RNA, 497 nt
Filed under: uncultured bacterium
Lineage: Bacteria
Description: partial 16S ribosomal RNA
Rfam family: Bacterial small subunit ribosomal RNA
Source: RNAcentral
GAUGAACGCUGGCGGCGUGCCUAAUACAUGCAAGUCGAGCGAACGGACGAGAAGCUUGCUUCUCUGAUGUUAGCGUCGGACGGGUGAGUAACACGUGGAUAACCUACCUAUAAGACUGGGAUAACUUCGGGAAACCGGAGCUAAUACCGGAUUAUAUUUUGAACCGCAUGGUUCAAGAGUGAAAGACGGUCUUGCUGUCUCUUAUAGAUGGAUCCUCGCUGCAUUAGCUAGUUGGUAAGGUAACGGCUUACCAAGGCAACGAUGCAUAGCCGACCUGAGAGGGUGAUCGGCCACACUGGAACUGAGACACGGUCCAGACUCCUACGGGAGGCAGCAGUAGGGAAUCUUCCGCAAUGGGCGAAAGCCUGACGGAGCAACGCCGCGUGAGUGAUGAAGGUCUUCGGAUCGUAAAACUCUGUUAUUAGGGAAGAACAUAUGUGUAAGUAACUGGGCACAUAUUGACGGUACCUAAUCAGAAAGCCACGGCUAACUACGUG